RNAcentral lists this ribosomal RNA (390 nucleotides) under uncultured bacterium. Its description in RNAcentral is "bacterial SSU rRNA". It matches the Rfam family "Bacterial small subunit ribosomal RNA", at positions 519 to 914 of the family's 1533-position model. The record is from RNAcentral.
GGUAAUACGGAGGGUCCGAGCGUUAUCCGGAAUCAUUGGGUUUAAAGGGUCCGCAGCGGUCAAUUAAGUCAGAGGUGAAAUCCCGUCGCUCAACGACGGAACUGCCUUUGAUACUGGUUGACUUGAGUCAUAUGGAAGUAGAUAGAAUGUGUAGUGUAGCGGUGAAAUGCAUAGAUAUUACACAGAAUACCGAUUGCGAAGGCAGUCUACUACGUAUGUACUGACGCUCAUGGACGAAAGCGUGGGGAGCGAACAGGAUUAGAUACCCUGGUAGUCCACGCCGUAAACGAUGGAUACUAGUUGUUGGGCAUUAGCUCAGUGACUAAGCGAAAGUGAUAAGUAUCCCACCUGGGGAGUACGGUCGCAAGACUGAAACUCAAAUGAAUUGAC